GCUGGGCGUGGUGGCGGGUGCCUGUAAUCCCAGCUACUCUGGAGGCUGAGGCAGGAGAAUCGCUUGAAUCCGGGAGGCAGAGGUUGCAGUGAGCUGGGAUCGCGCCACUGCACUCCAGCCCGGGUGACAGAGCAAGACUCUGUCUCUA
RNAcentral lists this non-coding RNA (148 nucleotides) under Chlorocebus sabaeus (green monkey). The record is from Rfam by way of RNAcentral. Lineage: Eukaryota; Metazoa; Chordata; Mammalia; Primates; Cercopithecidae.